CACAACCAACCAAGAAUCUAUCUUAAAUCAAAUCAAAAGCAAACCCAGCACCCAUCAGGGAACUUUGAAGAGACCAAUUUCCAAUGGUUUCUCCCUCAACGAUUGGGGGAUAGUUGUCUUGAAGGGAACUCGUCCUCAGUUCGGAUUGUAGGCUGCAACUCGCCUACAUGAAGCUGGAAUUGCUAGUAAUCGCCGGUCAGCCAUACGGAGGUGAAUUCGUUCC
This 223-nucleotide non-coding RNA is filed under the name Medicago truncatula (barrel medic). RNAcentral describes it as "Bacterial small subunit ribosomal RNA". It matches the Rfam family "Bacterial small subunit ribosomal RNA", at positions 924 to 1374 of the family's 1533-position model. Lineage: Eukaryota; Viridiplantae; Streptophyta; Magnoliopsida; Fabales; Fabaceae. The record is from Rfam by way of RNAcentral.